GUUUCUUUUAUUAUUAUUCUUUAGGCUUAGUUAUGAGACUGCAAAGAGAAGCCAAAAUGAAGAACAUCUGCCUGAAUGCAGCCAAACACACACUGCAGCAAACCCAGAAGCACAGGCUGAAGGUUGACACUUGGAAGCAGAAUCAGUAGGAGGAUUGAUUUUGCUCCCUUGAAGAACAUAUUGGCUUUUCAAUGAAAUACUGAAUGAUUCAGGUGUGAGCUUGACCUCAUCAAUUUUCAGGCUCAAAUUUUUAUGUUUAAAACUAUGGGGAUUUUAUGUUGAACGUUACUUUCAUGUCUUGCAAGAACUGCAGCUCAGCUGUUUAUAUCCCUUUUCUUUUUUCAUAAUUUUCAAAUGCAACGUCCCACAUGAAAAAUUAUCAUGUCUAAGUGU
RNAcentral lists this long non-coding RNA (393 nucleotides) under Cyanistes caeruleus (blue tit). RNAcentral's name for it is "lncRNA (ENSCCEG00000001015.1)". The record is from RNAcentral. Lineage: Eukaryota; Metazoa; Chordata; Aves; Passeriformes; Paridae.